Molecule: ribosomal RNA, 508 nt
Filed under: uncultured bacterium
Lineage: Bacteria
Description: partial 16S ribosomal RNA
Rfam family: Bacterial small subunit ribosomal RNA
Source: RNAcentral
GACGAACGCUGGCGGCGUGCUUAACACAUGCAAGUCGAACGGGAUAAUUUGAGAGCUUGCUCUUAGAGAAUCUAGUGGCACACGGGUGAGUAACACGUAGACAACCUGCCGACAGGAUGGGGACAACAUUCCGAAAGGAAUGCUAAUACCGAAUGAAGCGGAGGAGAGGCAUCUCUCGUCCGUGAAAGCUGGCCUCUGAUUAUGCUAUCACCUGUCGAUUGGUUUGCGUCUGAUUAGCUAGCUGGUGAGGUAACGGCUCACUAAGGCGGCGAUCAGUAGCCGGGCUGAGAGGAUGAACGGCCACAUUGGGACUGAGACACGGCCCAGGCUCCUACGGGGGGCAGCAGUGGGGAAUCUUCCGCAAUAGGCGCAAGCCUGACGGAGCAACGCCGCGGGAGUGAAGAAGGUCUUCGGAUCGUAAAGCUCUGUUGGCGGGGACGAACAUGCGAAGGGUGAAUAAUCCUUUGUAAUGACGGUACCUGUCGAGGAAGCCACGGCUAACUACGUG